UACGAAGGGUGCAAGCGUUAAUCGGAAUUACUGGGCGUAAAGGGUGCGUAGGCGGUUGUUUAAGUCUGUCGUGAAAUCCCCGGGCUCAACCUGGGAAUGGCGAUGGAUACUGGGCAGCUAGAGUGUGUCAGAGGAUGGUGGAAUUCCCGGUGUAGCGGUGAAAUGCGUAGAGAUCGGGAGGAACGUCAGUGGCGAAGGCGGCCAUCUGGGACAACACUGACGCUGAAGCACGAAAGCGUGGGGAGCAAACAGG
This 253-nucleotide ribosomal RNA is filed under the name uncultured bacterium. RNAcentral's name for it is "partial 16S ribosomal RNA". It matches the Rfam family "Bacterial small subunit ribosomal RNA", at positions 524 to 776 of the family's 1533-position model. The record is from RNAcentral.